GGAGAGGUGGCCGAGCGGUCGAAGGCGCACGCCUGGAAAGCGUGUGUACGGUGCUCCCGUACCGAGGGUUCGAAUCCCUCCCUCUCCGCCA
Molecule: transfer RNA, 91 nt
Filed under: Salifodinibacter halophilus
Lineage: Bacteria; Pseudomonadati; Pseudomonadota; Gammaproteobacteria; Salinisphaerales; Salinisphaeraceae
Description: tRNA-Ser
Rfam family: tRNA
About the family: Transfer RNA (tRNA) molecules are approximately 80 nucleotides in length. Their secondary structure includes four short double-helical elements and three loops (D, anti-codon, and T loops). Further hydrogen bonds mediate the characteristic L-shaped molecular structure. tRNAs have two regions of fundamental functional importance: the anti-codon, which is responsible for specific mRNA codon recognition, and the 3' end, to which the tRNAs corresponding amino acid is attached (by aminoacyl-tRNA synthetases). tRNAs cope with the degeneracy of the genetic code in two manners: having more than one tRNA (with a specific anti-codon) for a particular amino acid; and 'wobble' base-pairing, i.e. permitting non-standard base-pairing at the 3rd anti-codon position.
Source: RNAcentral